Molecule: ribosomal RNA, 500 nt
Filed under: Fusarium solani
Lineage: Eukaryota; Fungi; Ascomycota; Sordariomycetes; Hypocreales; Nectriaceae
Description: eukaryotic LSU rRNA
Rfam family: 5.8S ribosomal RNA (bases 127-280)
Source: RNAcentral
UGUGAACAUACCUAAAACGUUGCUUCGGCGGGAACAGACGGCCCUGUAACAACGGGCCGCCCCCGCCAGAGGACCCCUAACUCUGUUUUUAUAAUGUUUUUCUGAGUAAACAAGCAAAUAAAUUAAAACUUUCAACAACGGAUCUCUUGGCUCUGGCAUCGAUGAAGAACGCAGCGAAAUGCGAUAAGUAAUGUGAAUUGCAGAAUUCAGUGAAUCAUCGAAUCUUUGAACGCACAUUGCGCCCGCCAGUAUUCUGGCGGGCAUGCCUGUUCGAGCGUCAUUACAACCCUCAGGCCCCCGGGCCUGGCGUUGGGGAUCGGCGGAAGCCCCCUGUGGGCACACGCCGUCCCUCAAAUACAGUGGCGGUCCCGCCGCAGCUUCCAUUGCGUAGUAGCUAACACCUCGCAACUGGAGAGCGGCGCGGCCAUGCCGUAAAACACCCAACUUCUGAAUGUUGACCUCGAAUCAGGUAGGAAUACCCGCUGAACUUAAGCAUAUCA